This 1443-nucleotide long non-coding RNA is filed under the name Ananas comosus (pineapple). RNAcentral's name for it is "long non-coding RNA (ACOM_LNC010406)". The record is from RNAcentral. Lineage: Eukaryota; Viridiplantae; Streptophyta; Magnoliopsida; Poales; Bromeliaceae.
UUACAAAGAGUAAAUCUAAAGCGGUCCAAAAUACCCGAUAUUCCAUGCUCGGCCCGGACCCUACCUGGACCCGAAUCGGAUCCGAUAAAAGAUGGAUAGAAUACGGGUUAAAAUAAUUACCCAUUAAAGUUUCGGGUACGGGUCUGAAUACUUUAUACCCAGAUCCGACUUGGACCCGACCCAAAUCCGACCUUUUAAUGGGGAGGGUCAGGAAGAGCUUUCAAAUCUCGACCCAGACUUGGACCCAGUGAAAUAUCCGAUAGUAAAUAAAAAAAUUUAAAGUUAAGGGAUCAAUUUCAAUAGUACUUAUAGAUGAAGGGUCUCGGUAUAUUUUCAUCCUAAUAAAAAUCCUAGUCGCUUUGUUUACUCCUUUUUUUUAUUUUUUUUUUAUUUUACUCAUUUCUUUAACCCUAGCCGUUUACUGCUUGAAUCUUUCUUUUGAAUUAAUUUUAUUGGACGGUGCAACUAAUUAGAACGCGAGUUUUCUAUAGCGAGAGAUUUAUGAUUUUUUUAUAAACUGUUUAAUAAAGUAUAUAAAAAUAGGGAUAAUUGCCUAUAUACCCCUCAUACGUUUAAAAAUAUCCAAUUUACCCCUUUUUUUUUCUUUCUAAAAUACCUAUCAUAUAUAUUCCACCGUUAUUGUAAAAUAACCCUGCAGUUAUCUCCUGUUAAGUUAACUUAGGUUAAACGUGAGUUAAAUAUCUACCACAGUUAAAAAAAUUAAAAUGCUAAUUUUGCUCUUAACUUAAUGAUAAAUAAGAAAUGUUGGUGACGGUAGAGGGGUAUAUUUGAAAAGACCAAAAGUCAAAAUACUUUUUGUGCCCCUAACUUUAAGGGCAAAUAAGAAAGUCAGUGAUGGUCGAAGGGUAUAUUUGAAAGGGCAAAAUAGUAAUUUUACAGAGAUAACAGAGUUCAUUAACAGAUUUUAACUCUAAAGGUAUAUUAGAAAUAGGUUGGAACGUAAAAAAUGUAUUUUCAAUAUUAGCCGUCUAAGAGGGGUAAAUCGAAAAGUUGGGAACUUUUCAGGGGUAUAUAAGCAAUUGUCCCAUAAAAAUAUAUGCAUACGGGUAUCUGUACCCGAACUAGAUCCAACUCGUACCUGAUCCAUGAUGGAACUCCCCUCGGCCAAUCAUCACUAUACUUGGUCUUAAGUAGGAAACAUACCGGUAAUCACUACCCAGACCCGCUAAAAUAGACCCGAUAGGUAUAUUAUUAACUUAAGUACUCAGAUCUGGACCCGAUCCGAAGUUAAAUGGAUAGGGUGUAUAUAUAUUUUUCUACCUAUUUCUUUUUAGGAUACGGGUAUAGUAUAUCAACUAUCUAGACUCGACCCGGUUCAUAAACACCUUUAAGCAAAUCUGAUAAUAUCUAAAGUAUUAAAUUAUGUCGAAACUUCCUUUUUUCACUAUAAUAAUGAUCAGUUAGCUUUUCUACUCUUUUGAA